CCUACGGGAGGCUGCAGUGGGGAAUAUUGGACAAUAGGGGGAACCCUGAUCCAGCCAUGCCGCGUGUGUGAAGAAGGCCCUCGGGUUGUAAAGCACUUUCAGUGAGGAAGAACGCCUGGUGGUUAAUACCCAUCAGGAAAGACAUCACUCACAGAAGAAGCACCGGCUAACUCCGUGCCAGCAGCCGCGGUAAUACGGAGGGUGCGAGCGUUAAUCGGAAUUACUGGGCGUAAAGCGCGCGUAGGUGGCUUGAUAAGCCGGUUGUGAAAGCCCCGGGCUCAACCUGGGAACGGCAUCCGGAACUGUCAAGCUAGAGUGCAGGAGAGGAAGGUAGAAUUCCCGGUGUAGCGGUGAAAUGCGUAGAGAUCGGGAGGAAUACCAGUGGCGAAGGCGGCCUUCUGGACUGACACUGACACUGAGGUGCGAAAGCGUGGGUAGCAAACAGGAUUAGAUACCCGAGUAGUC
This 465-nucleotide ribosomal RNA is filed under the name Vreelandella stevensii. RNAcentral describes it as "partial 16S ribosomal RNA". It matches the Rfam family "Bacterial small subunit ribosomal RNA", at positions 338 to 795 of the family's 1533-position model. Lineage: Bacteria; Pseudomonadati; Pseudomonadota; Gammaproteobacteria; Oceanospirillales; Halomonadaceae. The record is from RNAcentral.